RNAcentral lists this long non-coding RNA (206 nucleotides) under Elaeis guineensis (African oil palm). Its description in RNAcentral is "long non-coding RNA (EGUI_LNC017543)". Lineage: Eukaryota; Viridiplantae; Streptophyta; Magnoliopsida; Arecales; Arecaceae. The record is from RNAcentral.
UUCCAUAUGCACACUUAGAGAUAAUCAAGAGAUAAAGAAGAGAUAAUGUUAGGAUAAUUAUGCCAACUAAUUGACUUAAUCAAAUUUUUUUGAGCUCACAAUUAAGAUUUCAAUUAAAUUCAAAUAGAUUUAGAUUAGGUUCAAGGCUAUGGACUUAAUCGAAUCGAAGUUUCAAGAAGAAUUAGGUUUAACCAUGUGCUAGCAUG